CGGGGCGUAGCGCAGCCCGGUAGCGCGCACCGUUCGGGUCGGUGAGGUCAUGGGUUCGAAUCCCGUCGCCCCGA
RNAcentral lists this transfer RNA (74 nucleotides) under Anaerolineaceae bacterium. Its description in RNAcentral is "tRNA-Pro". It matches the Rfam family "tRNA". From Rfam's summary of the family: Transfer RNA (tRNA) molecules are approximately 80 nucleotides in length. Their secondary structure includes four short double-helical elements and three loops (D, anti-codon, and T loops). Further hydrogen bonds mediate the characteristic L-shaped molecular structure. tRNAs have two regions of fundamental functional importance: the anti-codon, which is responsible for specific mRNA codon recognition, and the 3' end, to which the tRNAs corresponding amino acid is attached (by aminoacyl-tRNA synthetases). tRNAs cope with the degeneracy of the genetic code in two manners: having more than one tRNA (with a specific anti-codon) for a particular amino acid; and 'wobble' base-pairing, i.e. permitting non-standard base-pairing at the 3rd anti-codon position. Lineage: Bacteria; Bacillati; Chloroflexota; Anaerolineae; Anaerolineales; Anaerolineaceae. The record is from RNAcentral. RNAcentral also lists the same sequence under 1 other name.